RNAcentral lists this ribosomal RNA (486 nucleotides) under uncultured bacterium. Its description in RNAcentral is "partial 16S ribosomal RNA". It matches the Rfam family "Bacterial small subunit ribosomal RNA", at positions 29 to 507 of the family's 1533-position model. The record is from RNAcentral.
AUUGAACGCUGGCGGCAUGCUUUACACAUGCAAGUCGAGCGGCAGCGCGGGGGCAACCCUGGCGGCGAGCGGCGAACGGGUGAGUAAUGCAUCGGAAAGUAUCCCCGAGUGGGGGAUAACCCAGCGAAAGUUGGGCUAAUAACGCAUGAGCUCUGCGGAGGAAAGCGGGGGACCUGCGAGGGCCUCGCGCUGGAGGAGCGGCCGAUGUCCGAUUAGCUAGUUGGUGGGGUAAAGGCUUACCAAGGCGACGAUCGGUAGCUGGUCUGAGAGGAUGAUCAGCCGCACUGGGACUGGGACACGGCCCAGACUCCUACGGGAGGCAGCAGUGGGGAAUUUUGGACAAUGGUGGCAACCCUGAUCCAGCCAUGCCGCGUGAGUGAAGAAGGCCUUCGGGUUGUAAAGCUCUUUCGGGCGGAACGAAAUGGGCGGGACUAAUACUCCUGUCUGAUGACGGUACAGGAAGAAGAAGCACCGGCUAACUACGUG